RNAcentral lists this small nuclear RNA (219 nucleotides) under Pseudogymnoascus sp. VKM F-4513 (FW-928). RNAcentral describes it as "U2 spliceosomal RNA". It matches the Rfam family "U2 spliceosomal RNA". Rfam says of the family: U2 is a small nuclear RNA (snRNA) component of the spliceosome (involved in pre-mRNA splicing). Lineage: Eukaryota; Fungi; Ascomycota; Leotiomycetes; Thelebolales; Thelebolaceae. The record is from Rfam by way of RNAcentral.
CCAGCUUCCUUUGCCACAAGGCUUAGAUCAAGUGUAGUAUCUGUUCUUUUCAGUUUUAAUCAACUGAAACCCGUCCAACACAAAAAUGGGCGUCGACGAUUAAAAAUCCCAAUUUUUGCAACACCGAUCCCAACACGCGGCUGUCGGGCUUGCUCGCAGCCGUUCCUGGGAUUACCGUGUCUCUGGUACCACACUGCUUCCAGAAUGACGCGAAAAAUG